RNAcentral lists this ribosomal RNA (301 nucleotides) under uncultured bacterium. Its description in RNAcentral is "partial 16S ribosomal RNA". It matches the Rfam family "Bacterial small subunit ribosomal RNA", at positions 509 to 807 of the family's 1533-position model. The record is from RNAcentral.
CAGUCGCCGCGGUAAUACGUAGGGUGCGAGCGUUAAUCGUAAUUACUGGGCGUAAAGCGUGCGCAGGCGGUUCGUUAAGACAGAUGUGAAAUCCCCGGGCUUAACCUGGGAACUGCAUUUGUGACUGGCGAGCUAGAGUAUGGCAGAGGGGGGUAGAAUUCCACGUGUGGCAGUGAAAUGCGUAGAGAUGUGGAGGAAUACCGAUGGCGAAGGCAGCCCCCUGGGCCAAUACUGACGCUCAUGCACGAAAGCGUGGGGAGCAAACAGGAUUAGAUACCCCAGUAGUCCCUGUCUCUUAUAC